RNAcentral lists this ribosomal RNA (399 nucleotides) under Triticum aestivum (bread wheat). RNAcentral's name for it is "partial small subunit ribosomal RNA". The record is from RNAcentral. Lineage: Eukaryota; Viridiplantae; Streptophyta; Magnoliopsida; Poales; Poaceae.
AUGACAUUAGACAUGGAGGCCUUGAACUCUGUGGCCUUUAAUGCUUUGUCCCCGCUCAGAGUGUGGUCACAUCUUGUUGAGGAUUUUGAGAGCCAUUCGUGGCAAGGCAGAGGCAGAGGGCCAUCCAACAACAAUUUACUCACCUUGGUACAAAAAACCAGUGGCCAUUGUCUGCAUUGCAUGGUAUGGCCAUGGGCCCUAUGGCGAGACUACACAGGACUAAGGUGGAUUGGGACGAAGCAGCUGGUGUCCCCAUGGAGGCACUCCAGCAAUUUCUGCCAUGAACAUAAACUGAGCUUGAUGUGCAUGCAAGGGGAAACUGUGGGAAGCCAAGAUUUGACUCAACAGGCCCACUCUACUCCGGGCACUUACGGCUUUCAGACACCACAUGUAAGCUAG